GACGAACGCUGGCGGCGUGCUUAACACAUGCAAGUCGAACGGUGACGUGCCUUCCUUUUUGGUGGGUGUGUAUCAGCGGCGAACGGGUUAGUAACACGUUAGUCACCUGCCCCCUCCUUCUGGAUAACCGCAUGAAAGUGUGGCUAAUACGGGAUAUUUUGGGUCUGUCGCUUGUUGGGUCUGGGAAAGAUAUUGUUUCGGUGGGGGAUGGGCUCGCGGCCUAUCAGCUUGUUGGUGGGGUGAUGGCCUACCAAGGCGGUGACGGGUAGCCGGCCUGAGAGGGUGGGCGGUCACACAGGGACUGAGAGACGGAGCAGACUCCGACGGGAGGCAGCAGUGGGGAAUAUUGCACAAUGGGCGCAAGCGUGAUGCAGCGACGCCGCGUGGGGGAUGGAGGGCUUCGGGUGGUGAACCUCUUUCGCGAGUGAAGCAGGCCGGCCUCGAUUGUGGGUGGGUUGACGGUAGCUGGUGAAGAAGCGCCGGCUAACUACGUG
RNAcentral lists this ribosomal RNA (494 nucleotides) under uncultured bacterium. RNAcentral's name for it is "partial 16S ribosomal RNA". It matches the Rfam family "Bacterial small subunit ribosomal RNA", at positions 28 to 507 of the family's 1533-position model. The record is from RNAcentral.